UACAGAGGGGGCAAGCGUUGUUCGGAAUUACUGGGCGUAAAGGGCUCGUAGGCGGCCUGCUAAGUCUAACGUGAAAUCCCCGGGCUCAACCCGGGAACUGCGUCCGAUACUGGCAGGCUUGAAUCAGGGAGAGAGAUGCGGAAUUCCAGGUGUAGCGGUGAAAUGCGUAGAUAUCUGGAGGAACACCGGUGGCGAAGGCGGCAUCCUGGACCGGUAUUGACGCUGAGGCGCGAACGCCAGGGGAGCAAACGGG
Molecule: unclassified non-coding RNA, 253 nt
Filed under: uncultured Acidobacteriota bacterium
Lineage: Bacteria; Pseudomonadati; Acidobacteriota
Description: uncultured Acidobacteria bacterium contains 16S-23S intergenic spacer region
Rfam family: Bacterial small subunit ribosomal RNA
Source: RNAcentral